CAAAGCUUAAUUAUUUUUUUAAAAAAUUCCAAAAUUUAUAAAAAACCCUUAACUACUAUUAAGUACUUCCAUAUCUUUAUGGAAUUUACAAUGUUAAAACUAGUAACAAGAAGAAGCCCUUCUCUUAAAUGCAAGUGUAAAUCAGAAAGGACACACCACUGAUAAUUAACACCUAUGAAUACAAAGUAGUAACUUCACAAGAAAAUUCUACUAAAUCUAAUGUUAACCUAACACAAGAGCAUUAAAAGAAAGAUAAAAAGGAAAAGAAGGAACUCGGCAAAUAUUAACCUCGCCUGUUUACCAAAAACAUCGCCUCUUGAUACCCAUAAGAGGUACAGCCUGCCCAGUGACUCUGUUUAACGGCCGCGGUAUC
Molecule: ribosomal RNA, 373 nt
Filed under: Ranoidea cyclorhynchus (spotted-thighed treefrog)
Lineage: Eukaryota; Metazoa; Chordata; Amphibia; Anura; Pelodryadidae
Description: Litoria cyclorhyncha (spotted-thighed treefrog) partial 16S ribosomal RNA
Source: RNAcentral